RNAcentral lists this long non-coding RNA (426 nucleotides) under Mus pahari (shrew mouse). RNAcentral describes it as "lncRNA (MGP_PahariEiJ_G0005699.1)". The record is from RNAcentral. Lineage: Eukaryota; Metazoa; Chordata; Mammalia; Rodentia; Muridae.
GGCCACCCAUACAGGACACCUCUCACCCCGGGCCUCUUGUAGCUCCUCUCCUGGCCACGCUGGCUGCUUCUUAUAUCUCAGCUCUGCUUGCUUUCAGCCGGCGAGAGGUCAGGGUCUGACUCUGGGACCUGAGGGACCUAAACCAAGAAUAUCGUCAUUCAUUCAACAGCAAGAAGUGAAACAGGGGUCUAAGUGACCACACUUAUUUGAGAGUCGGAAGGAAGAAAAGAUGGAGGGGAGACUCCAGGAACCUCAGGCCAUUUCAGAAGGAGCCACAGGGGAGGUAAAUGUCUCCUUUGUGUUUUGCAGACAAGAGUUUCUGACACGUCUCGGGAAAGGCUGGAGAAGUCACUCUCUGGGCUGCACUUUCAUCCAGGAGGCGGUGUGGGAUGGAUUAAUGGCAACUCACAAUAAAUUAUUUAUCAG